AGGACGAACGCUGGCGGCGUGCUUAACACAUGCAAGUCGAGCGGAAAGGCCCUUCGGGGUACUCGAGCGGCGAACGGGUGAGUAACACGUGAGCAACCUGCCCUUAGCUUCGGGAUAGCUCCGGGAAACCGGAAUUAAUACCGGAUAUGACUAUGGCCGACAUCAGCCAUGGUGGAAAGUUUUUCGGCUAGGGAUGGACUCGCGGCCUAUCAGCUAGUUGGUGAGGUAACGGCUCACCAAGGCGACGACGGGUAGCCGGCCUGAGAGGGCGACCGGCCACACUGGGACUGAGACACGGCCCAGACUCCUACGGGAGGCAGCAGUGGGGAAUAUUGCGCAAUGGGCGAAAGCCUGACGCAGCGACGCCGCGUGGGGGAUGAAUGCCUUCGGGUUGUAAACCCCUUCAGCAGGGACGAAGCGAAAGUGACGGUACCUGCAGAAGAAGCGCCGGCUAACUACGUGCCAGCAGCCGC
Molecule: ribosomal RNA, 473 nt
Filed under: uncultured bacterium
Lineage: Bacteria
Description: SSU rRNA
Rfam family: Bacterial small subunit ribosomal RNA
Source: RNAcentral